This 497-nucleotide ribosomal RNA is filed under the name uncultured bacterium. Its description in RNAcentral is "partial 16S ribosomal RNA". It matches the Rfam family "Bacterial small subunit ribosomal RNA", at positions 28 to 507 of the family's 1533-position model. The record is from RNAcentral.
GAUGAACGCUGGCGGCGUGCCUAAUACAUGCAAGUCGAGCGAACAGACGAGGAGCUUGCUCCUCUGACGUUAGCGGCGGACGGGUGAGUAACACGUGGAUAACCUACCUAUAAGACUGGGAUAACUUCGGGAAACCGGAGCUAAUACCGGAUAAUAUAUUGAACCGCAUGGUUCAAUAGUGAAAGACGGUUUUGCUGUCACUUAUAGAUGGAUCCGCGCCGCAUUAGCUAGUUGGUAAGGUAACGGCUUACCAAGGCAACGAUGCGUAGCCGACCUGAGAGGGUGAUCGGCCACACUGGAACUGAGACACGGUCCAGACUCCUACGGGAGGCAGCAGUAGGGAAUUUUCCGAAAUGGGCGAAAGCCUGACGGAGCAACGCCGCGUGAGUGAUGAAGGUCUUCGGAUCGUAAAACUCUGUUAUUAGGGAAGAACAAAUGUGUAAGUAACUAUGCACGUCUUGACGGUACCUAAUCAGAAAGCCACGGCUAACUACGUG